GGGAAAAAGACCCCCCACACGCACUUCCCAUCAUGGCCUCCCUCAGUGAUGUAGCUCACUUAGCUACAUUGGCCUGUGUUCCCUGGGGCAACUCCUGAGCUCCAAGCCCUAGCUGGACAAAGUUUCUUGUCUCCCAUAAACGAGCAGACCUCUCCCUGAGGGUAAGAGGCAUAUGCAGAGAUAGAAACUGAGGAAAGAGAGACCUAGUAGGGGUCUGUGCAGAGGAUCCCAGAUCCUCUUAGGGGAUCUUUGUACCUAGCCACACCACGAGCUUGACUGCCCCUCAGGAAAACAACCAAAACCCUUGGUGGUCCCAAGAAUAGGAUGGUGUCUCCCUCUACUGCAUAUCAUAGGAACUACAAGCAUCGGAGAACGGAGGGGCGGGAGGCUUGGGUCUCUGUGCUUCCUGGGUGAAAGCCCAGAUGCUAGAAGGAUCAGGUGAGAACUGUGAGUAAGCUGUGAGGCCGGAGACUGUGAGACCAUCCAGCACAGUGAGAAUGACAGCCUUGUGGUCAGAUGGUACAGAGCACAGAAGUGUUCAGCAACUUUCCCAGGGGCGCACAGAAAGUGGUGGAGCUGGGUUCUCAUCCAGGCAGCUUGGCUUUGGGAUCUGGGUUUUCCUCAACGCUGCACAGGCAAGUGGAGACAUUCCUUACCUUGAAGGAGAAUGGAAUGAACUGCAAUCCCAGGACUUGGGAUAGGCUGAGCCAGGAGGAUAUAAGAUCAAGGCAAGUCUGAGCUGCAUAGUUUGGGACCCUGCCAAAAAAAAAAAAGAAAAAAGAAAAAAAGA
Molecule: non-coding RNA, 790 nt
Organism: Peromyscus maniculatus bairdii (prairie deer mouse)
Lineage: Eukaryota; Metazoa; Chordata; Mammalia; Rodentia; Cricetidae
Source: RefSeq, a predicted model, not a curated record